Molecule: ribosomal RNA, 301 nt
Filed under: uncultured bacterium
Lineage: Bacteria
Description: partial 16S ribosomal RNA
Rfam family: Bacterial small subunit ribosomal RNA
Source: RNAcentral
CAGUCGCCACGGUAAUACGAAGGGGGCUAGCGUUGUUCGGAUUUACUGGGCGUAAAGGGCGCGUAGGCGGACUGAUAAGUCAGGGGUGAAAUCCCAAGGCUCAACCUUGGAACUGCCUUUGAUACUGUUUGUCUUGAGUUCGAGAGAGGUAAGUGGAGCUGCGAGUGUAGAGGUGAAAUUCGUAGAUAUUCGCAAGAACACCAGUGGCGAAGGCGGCUUACUGGCUCGAUACUGACGCUGAGGCGCGAAAGCGUGGGGAGCAAACAGGAUUAGAUACCCCUGUAGUCCCUGUCUCUUAUAC